Molecule: ribosomal RNA, 203 nt
Filed under: uncultured bacterium
Lineage: Bacteria
Description: partial 16S ribosomal RNA
Rfam family: Bacterial small subunit ribosomal RNA
Source: RNAcentral
ACGCUCGACACCUACGAGGCAGCAGUGGGGAAUAUUGCACAAUGGGGGAAACCCUGAUGCAGCGACGCCGCGUGGAGGAAGAAGGUCUUCGGAUUGUAAACUCCUGUUGUUGGGGAAAAAGAGGAUGGUACCCAACAAGGAAGUGACGGCUAACUACGUGCCAACAGCCGCCGGUAAGUACUGAGCGGGCGUGGCGAAGGACG